GCAUCGGUGGUUCUGUGGUAGAAUGCUCGCCUGCCACGCGGGCGCCCGGGUUCGAUUCCGGCCGAUGCU
RNAcentral lists this transfer RNA (69 nucleotides) under Cordylochernes scorpioides. RNAcentral describes it as "tRNA-Gly". It matches the Rfam family "tRNA". Rfam says of the family: Transfer RNA (tRNA) molecules are approximately 80 nucleotides in length. Their secondary structure includes four short double-helical elements and three loops (D, anti-codon, and T loops). Lineage: Eukaryota; Metazoa; Arthropoda; Arachnida; Pseudoscorpiones; Chernetidae. The record is from RNAcentral.